This 275-nucleotide ribosomal RNA is filed under the name Dehalococcoidia bacterium. Its description in RNAcentral is "partial 16S ribosomal RNA". It matches the Rfam family "Bacterial small subunit ribosomal RNA", at positions 1 to 276 of the family's 1533-position model. Lineage: Bacteria; Bacillati; Chloroflexota; Dehalococcoidia. The record is from RNAcentral.
UUAGAGAGUUUGAUCCUGGCUCAGGGUGAACGCUGGCGGCGCGCUUAAUGCAUGCAAGUCGCGCGUGUCCGUGGCUUCGGCCACAUAUGGAAAAGCGGCAGACGGCUGAGUAACGCGUGAGUAACCUGCCCUCUGGUGGGGUAUAGCCACGAGAAAUCGUGAUUAAUCCCGCAUAAGAUCUCUUUACCUUGGUAUUGAGAUGAAAGCCUUCGGGCGCCGGAGGAGGGGCUCGCGUCCUAUCAGGUUGUUGGUGAGGUAAUGGCUCACCAAGCCUA